Molecule: ribosomal RNA, 232 nt
Filed under: uncultured bacterium
Lineage: Bacteria
Description: partial 16S ribosomal RNA
Rfam family: Bacterial small subunit ribosomal RNA
Source: RNAcentral
CGGGACGGGGUGAGUAAUGUCUGGGAAACUGCCUGAUGGAGGGGGAUAACUACUGGAAACGGUAGCUAAUACCGCAUAACGUCGCAAGACCAAAGAGGGGGACCUUCGGGCCUCUUGCCAUCGGAUGUGCCCAGAUGGGAUAGCUAGUAGGUGGGGUAACGGCUCACCUAGGCGACGAUCCCUAGCUGGUCUGAGAGGAUGCCAGCCACACUGGAACUGAGACACGGUCCAG